Molecule: non-coding RNA, 107 nt
Organism: Gossypium raimondii (Peruvian cotton)
Lineage: Eukaryota; Viridiplantae; Streptophyta; Magnoliopsida; Malvales; Malvaceae
Source: Rfam
AUGCCAUGAUGAGGACACUUUUGGAAUAGCUCAUUGAACUACUUUCAUGUCUCAUAUAAAGAUUCUUCAUCAAGUUGCUAAAAUGAAGUGAUUUCGUUUCGAAGCUU